ACCCUUCUCCAGUUCAUCAGCGUGAUGAUUGGGUUCUCACGCACGUGCUUGCGUGACAUGUGCCUCCCUCCAAACCUUGUUACAACGGGCACAUUAGUCAUCCGACG
Perognathus longimembris pacificus (Pacific pocket mouse) is the source of this 107-nucleotide small nucleolar RNA. RefSeq annotates it as small nucleolar RNA U13. NCBI's taxonomy places the organism in Eukaryota, Metazoa, Chordata, Mammalia, Rodentia, Heteromyidae. The transcript has a single exon. The record is from RefSeq and is a predicted model, not a curated record.